GAUGAACGCUAGCUACAGGCUUAACACAUGCAAGUCGAGGGGCAGCAUUUCAGUUUGCUUGCAAACUGGAGAUGGCGACCGGCGCACGGGUGAGUAACACGUAUCCAACCUGCCGAUAACUCGGGGAUAGCCUUUCGAAAGAAAGAUUAAUACCCGAUGGCAUAAUUAGACCGCAUGGUCUUAUUAUUAAAGAAUUUCGGUUAUCGAUGGGGAUGCGUUCCAUUAGGCAGUUGGUGAGGUAACGGCUCACCAAACCUUCGAUGGAUAGGGGUUCUGAGAGGAAGGUCCCCCACAUUGGAACUGAGACACGGUCCAAACUCCUACGGGAGGCAGCAGUGAGGAAUAUUGGUCAAUGGGCGCAGGCCUGAACCAGCCAAGUAGCGUGAAGGAUGACUGCCCUAUGGGUUGUAAACUUCUUUUAUAUGGGAAUAAAGUUUUCCACGUGUGGAAUUUUGUAUGUACCAUAUGAAUAAGGAUCGGCUAACUCCGUGCCAGCAGCCGCGGUAAUACGGAGGAUCCGAGCGUUAUCCGGAUUUAUUGGGUUUAAAGGGAGCGUAGGUGGACAGUUAAGUCAGUUGUGAAAGUUUGCGGCUCAACCGUAAAAUUGCAGUUGAUACUGGCUGUCUUGAGUACAGUAGAGGUGGGCGGAAUUCGUGGUGUGGCGGUGAAAUGCUUAGAUAUCACGAAGAACUCCGAUUGCGAAGGCAGCUCACUGGACUGCAACUGACACUGAUGCUCGAAAGUGUGGGUAUCAAACAGGAUUAGAUACCCUGGUAGUCCACACAGUAAACGAUGAAUACUCGCUGUUUGCGAUAUACAGUAAGCGGCCAAGCGAAAGCAUUAAGUAUUCCACCUGGGGAGUACGCCGGCAACGGUGAAGCUCAAAGGAAUUGACGGGGGCCCGCACAAGCGGAGGAACAUGUGGCUUAAUUCGAUGAUACGCGAGGAACCUUACCCGGGCUUAAAUUGCAUUUGAAUAUAUUGGAAACAGUAUAGCCGUAAGGCAAAUGUGAAGGUGCUGCAUGGUUGUCGUCAGCUCGUGCCGUGAGGUGUCGGCUUAAGUGCCAUAACGAGCGCAACCCUUAUCUUUAGUUACUAACAGGUCAUGCUGAGGACUCUAGAGAGACUGCCGUCGUAAGAUGUGAGGAAGGUGGGGAUGACGUCAAAUCAGCACGGCCCUUACGUCCGGGGCUACACACGUGUUACAAUGGGGGGUACAGAAGGCAGCUACCUGGUGACAGGAUGCUAAUCCCAAAAGCCUCUCUCAGUUCGGAUCGAAGUCUGCAACCCGACUUCGUGAAGCUGGAUUCGCUAGUAAUCGCGCAUCAGCCAUGGCGCGGUGAAUACGUUCCCGGGCCU
This 1359-nucleotide ribosomal RNA is filed under the name uncultured bacterium. RNAcentral describes it as "bacterial SSU rRNA". It matches the Rfam family "Bacterial small subunit ribosomal RNA", at positions 28 to 1381 of the family's 1533-position model. The record is from RNAcentral.